Molecule: ribosomal RNA, 59 nt
Filed under: Zymoseptoria tritici
Lineage: Eukaryota; Fungi; Ascomycota; Dothideomycetes; Mycosphaerellales; Mycosphaerellaceae
Description: partial 28S ribosomal RNA
Source: RNAcentral
UGACCUCGGAUCGGUAGGGAUACCCGCUGAACUUAAGCAUAUCAAUAAGCGGAGGAAUU